ACUCCUGCGGGAGGCAGCAGUGAGGAAUAUUGGACAAUGGGUGGAAGCCUGAUCCAGCCAUCCCGCGUGCAGGAAGACGGCCCUAUGGGUUGUAAACUGCUUUUAUCUGGGGAUAAACCUACUUACGUGUAAGUAGCUGAAGGUACCAGAAGAAUAAGCACCGGCUAACUCCGUGCCAGCAGCCGCGGUAAUACGGAGGGUGCAAGCGUUAUCCGGAUUUAUUGGGUUUAAAGGGUCCGUAGGCGGACUGAUAAGUCAGUGGUGAAAUCCGACAGCUUAACUGUCGAACUGCCAUUGAUACUGUUAGUCUUGAGUAAGGUUGAAGUGGCUGGAAUAAGUAGUGUAGCGGUGAAAUGCAUAGAUAUUACUUAGAACACCAAUUGCGAAGGCAGGUCACUAAGUCUUAACUGACGCUGAUGGACGAAAGCGUGGGGAGCGAACAGGAUUAGAAACCCGAGUAGUCCCAUG
This 468-nucleotide ribosomal RNA is filed under the name uncultured organism. Its description in RNAcentral is "partial 16S ribosomal RNA". It matches the Rfam family "Bacterial small subunit ribosomal RNA", at positions 335 to 799 of the family's 1533-position model. The record is from RNAcentral.